CAAGGGUUAGUUUAUUAAAAUGUUGAUUUUGGGGAUCAGUGAUGGAAGAAUUUUCUACUCUUGA
Molecule: transfer RNA, 64 nt
Filed under: Celes akitanus
Lineage: Eukaryota; Metazoa; Arthropoda; Insecta; Orthoptera; Acrididae
Description: tRNA-Pro
Source: RNAcentral